AGCGCCGCCAAGGGGUGUUUGCCAAAAUUCGGCAGACUGAGAUGUCAUCAGACGAACCCUUAGAACCUGAUCCGGCUAAUACCGGCGUAGGAAUGGGCCAAUCAACAGCA
This is a regulatory RNA element of Shewanella oneidensis MR-1, 110 nucleotides long. It matches the Rfam family "TPP riboswitch aptamer (THI element)". Rfam says of the family: Vitamin B(1) in its active form thiamin pyrophosphate (TPP) is an essential coenzyme that is synthesised by coupling of pyrimidine and thiazole moieties in bacteria. The previously detected thiamin-regulatory element, thi box was extended, resulting in a new, highly conserved RNA secondary structure, the THI element, which is widely distributed in eubacteria and also occurs in some archaea. Analysis of operon structures identified a large number of new candidate thiamin-regulated genes, mostly transporters, in various prokaryotic organisms. The record is from Rfam. Lineage: Bacteria; Pseudomonadati; Pseudomonadota; Gammaproteobacteria; Alteromonadales; Shewanellaceae.